Long non-coding RNA from Manacus vitellinus (golden-collared manakin), 602 nucleotides. RefSeq lists it as uncharacterized. The record is from RefSeq and is a predicted model, not a curated record. The transcript is spliced from 3 exons. NCBI's taxonomy places the organism in Eukaryota, Metazoa, Chordata, Aves, Passeriformes, Pipridae.
ACUGGUGGGUCUGUACCAUGCACAUACCCAAAAAAGAGUGUGGCACGAGAGAUGACAGAUGACAGCAACAAAACCAGUGUGGGGACUGCGGGGAACUCUCAGGUUGAUUUUAAAGAGGAAGUCUGAAUAGGAAUCAUUUACUACUCCCAUGAUUACACAAGAAAAUGAUAUCAUCAGCAGGAUGAAAGACUGUACAGAGAGACAGCAACAUUCAUUACUUCCCAGCUGAAAUCAGGACUCAACCUGGAAACAAAAGCUUCGGUUCCUCUGCGGUUGGGUAAUUAAACACAGAAGGGGCUGAACAGAAAAGGCUUUUCAUUUGCCACUACACAGACCCUAAAGUGAGCUGGUGUGGAAGACAGGCUGUGAAGAGGAAGAGCAAGUCAGUACUGAUAUCAAAGACAAGAGCUGGAAGGAGCAGCUAUAUUAAAACCCAUUAUGAGAUGAGCAACAUCCAGAGAGCCAGGGGAUGGAUCUCAAGUUGAGCUGCUUGAGACAGGCACAGCUUGGAAGUCACAUUUCCAUAACCCACAUCCUGCAGUUGGGCACUCUGAGGUUUAAAACUCAAGCACUUGGAUGAAGCUGAAUCUAAAUUUCUAUGA